This 447-nucleotide ribosomal RNA is filed under the name uncultured bacterium. RNAcentral describes it as "partial 16S ribosomal RNA". It matches the Rfam family "Bacterial small subunit ribosomal RNA", at positions 29 to 523 of the family's 1533-position model. The record is from RNAcentral.
AACGAACGCUGGCGGCAGGCUUAACACAUGCAAGUCGAACGCAUCGCAAGAUGAGUGGCAGACGGGUGAGUAACGCGUGGGAAUCUACCCAUCUCUGCGGAAUAGCUCUGGGAAACUGGAAUUAAUACCGCAUACGCCCUAAGGGGGAAAGAUUUAUCGGGGAUGGAUGAGCCCGCGUUGGAUUAGCUAGUUGGUGGGGUAAAGGCCUACCAAGGCGACGAUCCAUAGCUGGUCUGAGAGGAUGAUCAGCCACAUUGGGACUGAGACACGGCCCAACCUCGUACGGAAGGCAGCAGUGGGGAAUAUUGGACAAUGGGCGCAAGCCUGAUCCAGCCAUGCCUCGUGAGUGAUAAAGGCCUUAGGGUUGUAAAGCUCUUUCACCGAUGUAGAUAAUGACGGUAGUCGGAGAAGAAGCCCCGGCUAACUUCGUGCCAGCCCCCGCCGUAA